This 637-nucleotide ribosomal RNA is filed under the name uncultured Actinomycetes bacterium. RNAcentral describes it as "bacterial SSU rRNA". It matches the Rfam family "Bacterial small subunit ribosomal RNA", at positions 52 to 702 of the family's 1533-position model. Lineage: Bacteria; Bacillati; Actinomycetota; Actinomycetes. The record is from RNAcentral.
CACAUGCAAGUCGAGCGGAAAGGCCCUUUCGGGGGUACUCGAGCGGCGAACGGGUGAGUAACACGUGAGUAAUCUGCCCUUGGCUUCGGGAUAGCCACCGGAAACGGUGAUUAAUACCGGAUACGACACAUCACUGCAUGGUGCGUGUGUGGAAAGUUUUUUCGGCCAGGGAUGUGCUCGCGGCCUAUCAGCUUGUUGGUGGGGUAAUGGCCUACCAAGGCUUCGACGGGUAGCCGGCCUGAGAGGGUGACCGGCCACACUGGGACUGAGACACGGCCCAGACUCCUACGGGAGGCAGCAGUGGGGAAUAUUGGACAAUGGGCGGAAGCCUGAUCCAGCAACGCCGCGUGAGGGAUGACGGGCCUUCGGGUUGUAAACCUCUUUCAGCACAGACGAAGCGCAAGUGACGGUAUGUGCAGAAGAAGGACCGGCCAACUACGUGCCAGCAGCCGCGGUAAUACGUAGGGUCCGAGCGUUGUCCGGAAUUAUUGGGCGUAAAGGGCUCGUAGGCGGUUUGUCGCGUCGGGAGUGAAAACACCGGGCUUAACUCGGUGCUUGCUUUCGAUACGGGCAGACUAGAGGUAUUCAGGGGAGAACGGAAUUCCUGGUGUAGCGGUGAAAUGCGCAGAUAUCAGGA